GCACGAACGCAGUGGCUACCAGUUAGACAUGAGAAUAUGGAAUGCUCUACCCCAGCUAUAAUAGUACUGAAAACCUCUGAUGUGAUACAGAUGUUGCUGCACCAUUCUUAUGUUGCUUCUGAAUUUAAAUAGGAAAAAUCUUAUCAUCGCUCUUCAUUAAACUGCAUAAACAAUCCGGAUACUGCAGUGAGGACCUCAUCGGACAAUAUCUGGUUCCACAGAUGGCCCUCGGAGGGAUCUUGUAUUUAUAAUGGACUAGAUCAGGUUAUGCUUUUGGUUAUAUGGGUCUAAAGAUGCUUGCCUCUGCCAGGGAUUUUCAUGCAUUUAAGGAAGCUCAGAAUCUGGCUUCAGCAUCCAAUAAUGCAAUGGCUGGAAGACCACAACGUGUCAGAUUAACUGGGUGGACACAUUGGAUAUUAGCAACAAUUCUGCUGCUGUGGAGUUACCAGAUCAGUGGACAAGGUGUAAAUGGAGCAGCAGGGCUCUGGAGAGUGCUGCUGGGUCGCAGGGCUGUGGUGCCCUGGCAUUGCCAGGUGGGCUGGGCUGGAACAGGAGGGGAGCUUCUGGUGGCUGCAAGGGGUCCAGCUGAGCAAAAACAUUGAGGUAGGACAGCUCGGUACCAAGUCCCUGACAGAAAAGCAAAUACACCAUUCUGGAAUGCAUAAUCAUUUCAAAUGUUUGCUGGGCUUUGGGAGAAAAGGUGAUCACGAUGUAGAAGAAAGAAUAUACUGAGGAUUAAAAAAGCCUGCUUGCCAAUCCACUGUUUGCUUUUACUGAAUAAACAACUUUUCAUGAUUUUUAGAAAAAUAUUU
This 812-nucleotide long non-coding RNA is filed under the name Anas platyrhynchos platyrhynchos (common mallard). Its description in RNAcentral is "lncRNA (ENSAPLG00000024777.1)". The record is from RNAcentral. Lineage: Eukaryota; Metazoa; Chordata; Aves; Anseriformes; Anatidae.